This 119-nucleotide ribosomal RNA is filed under the name Pteropus alecto (black flying fox). Lineage: Eukaryota; Metazoa; Chordata; Mammalia; Chiroptera; Pteropodidae. The record is from RNAcentral.
UGCUACAGCCAUGCCACCCUGAACAAGCCCGAUCUCGUCCGAUCUCAGAAGCUAAGCAGGGUCAGGCCUGGUUAGUACUUGGAUCGGGGACCACCUGUGAAGACCAGGUGCUGUAGGCA